This 468-nucleotide ribosomal RNA is filed under the name uncultured bacterium. RNAcentral's name for it is "partial 16S ribosomal RNA". It matches the Rfam family "Bacterial small subunit ribosomal RNA", at positions 28 to 507 of the family's 1533-position model. The record is from RNAcentral.
GACGAACGCUGGCGGCGUGCUUAACACAUGCCAGUCGAACGGAAAGGCCCUGCUUUUGUGGGGUGCUCGAGUGGCGAACGGGUGAGUAACACGUGAGUAACCUGCCCUUGUCUUUGGGAUAACUUCAGGAAACUGGGGCUAAUACCGGAUAGGAGCUCCUGCUGCAUGGUGGGGGUUGGAAAGUUUCGGCGGUUGGGGAUGGACUCGCGGCUUAUCAGCUUGUUGGUGGGGUAGUGGCUUACCAAGGCUUUGACGGGUAGCCGGCCUGAGAGGGUGACCGGCGACAUUGGGACUGAGGUACGGCCCAGAAUCCUACGGGAGGCAGCAGUGGGGAGUAUUGCACAAUGGGCGGAAGCCUGAUACAGCAACGCCGCGUGCGGGAUGACGGCCUUCGGGUUGUAAACCGCUUUCUCCUGUGACGAGGCGGGAGUGACGGUAAUGGGUAAAGAAGCACCGGCUAACUACGUG